This 2335-nucleotide long non-coding RNA is filed under the name Homo sapiens (human). RNAcentral's name for it is "HSALNT0229799". Lineage: Eukaryota; Metazoa; Chordata; Mammalia; Primates; Hominidae. The record is from RNAcentral.
CUGAGCCCAGCCUAAAUUCAAUUAUUAAACUCCUUGAGUUAAUUAAAGGGUAGCCAGGUGCGGUGGCUCAUGCCUGUAAUCCCAGCACUUUCAGAGGCCGAGGCAGGAGGAUCGCUUGAGCCCAGGAGUUCCAGACCAGCCUGGACAACAUAGCGAGAUCCUGACUCUACAAAAAACAGAAAAAUUAGCCGGGCGUGGUGGCGCGUGUUUGUAGUCCCAGACACUCCUGAGGUUGAGGUGGGAGGAUCACCUGAGCCCUCGGGAGGUCGAAGCUGCAGUGAGCGGAGAUCGCACCGCUGCACUCCAGCCUGGGGGACAGUGAGGCGGUCUCAAAACAAAACAAAAACAAAAGGGGAGGGCGGGGGGAAGACUUAAAGACCCCUGAGCCAGGGCCAUUAUUAUUUAACUUGGUCGGGUCUCUGAACCAUUCGGAGGAAGCUUGGGUUUCUAUCCUUCCCGACUGAGCCACAGACCUGAGUCUUGACUCCGGAUAAAUCACCCCAGACUGUUUUUCUGUCUGUGACACGGGAACGGCAGCUUCUGCCUCGCGAGGUGGAGAGAGAAUGAGAAGCGCCGUGUGUGGCGCGCCUGACACGGUCAGCUCGCGGGUGGAGGCCCGGAGCAGAACGCCCUCGGGCGCCCGCUCUUGCAGCCGCACUGGAGACCGGGAAUGGCUCCGGCCACGCCUCUGCCGACUGCGGCAACGCGAGGGACAGCUGGUCUCCGGGGUUGCAGCGUAACGCCCUCCUUCCCGGCCUCAUCUUUCCUGACUGCAUAACGGGCAUACAGUGGGUUCCAUGGCGCAAGGGAGCUGAAGAAGCCGCCCGCCCCCAGCUCGCCCGGGAUCCUCACGCCCCUAUAACGCCCCGAGGGGCCACGAUGCUGCCCACAGCCCAGAUCGCGAGUGCGGACCCUGCGGGAGGGUCUGGCCUAGAUGCGAGUUUCCCGCCGCAGACCAGGCGAGGCCACGCGACAUAUCCCCUACCCGCUUACUGCAGGCCGCAGACGGAGACAGUGCAGCCCUGCGCACUGCUGAGGUUGCCCGAGGUCUCAGCCUCGGCGGGUCGGGAACACGCGGCGCGCGCCCGCGCCCCAACCGGAAGUCCGCCACCGGCCGCUCUAGCACGCGCAGGGCUGCGUCUGUGGCCUUAACCCUUCCCAAGGCUGCGCCGCCGGCCUUUGUCUCCGCGGAGCGUCACAAAGGUUGGAAGGGUCGCGGGGCCUCUGGGUGCCGAGCUGCAGAUGCCUCCACUGCGAGCACAGCCCUGAGACAAGGGCCCAGGCGCCCAGCGGGGCUGGUUUCACUCAGUCCAGCCGCACCUACCCGUGCCCUCACCAGAUCUUAAGAUACAGACAUUAAAACCUCCACCGGGCCGCGGCACAGGACAGCAGUUUUACUUUCUGUUUUUGGCAUUGCAUUGCCUCCAUUUCCUAGAGUGCACGUAAUAAAUACCGCUGGUGAUUCCAAAAUAUAAAGGUUGAAAAUAUUUACUUUACAAAAAUUUGGUUCCCAUACUGCUUUUAAGGCCAUCCUCUGCACUUGGUUCCCGCUGCUCCUGAUGUGGUUGAAAGAUGGAUGACCCCAAAGACGAGGAAAAGAUUAUUGGCUCCAUUUUUUAGAUGCGGCAGCCAGCUAAGGUCUAGACAGGGGAAGGGACUUGCCCCAAAUCACAGUUAGAGCAAAUCAGUCUGAAUCAGGAAUAACUCCAUUCCUAUCCCGCAUCCUGCCCUUUCACUACGCCACAGCUGCCUGGCUGCCUGGAGGAACAAAGGAGGGCCGGGCAAGAACGCCAUUACCAACUGCAAAUCCACAGGCAAAUGCAAGAGGACAGAAAAUUUUUGGGGAGACUGAUGCCACAGACUUCGCAUUCUAGAAAUUCCUAAGAAAAGGCUGUCCAUCUCCCUGUGGUGCAUUCACCUGAGUCUCUGAGCCCUGGCAGGGCCCAUCUCUUCUCCACCCAGCAGAGUGAUCCUGGCCUAUGGAAUAUAAUUUAGCAGUAAAAAGGAACAAACUACUGAUUCACACAAUAAUCCGGAUGACCCUCAAGAAUAUUAGCCUGAGUAAAAGAAAACAGAUGCAAAAGAGUUACAUACUGCUUAAUUCUAUUUACAUGAAGUUCCAGAACAGGUUCACCCAAUCCGUUACUUUAAAACAAUCAGGCCAGGUGUGGUGGCUCACGCCUGUAAUCCCAGCACUUUGUGAGGCCAGGAGGAUCCCUUGAGGCCAGGAGUUCCAGACCAGCCUAGGCAACACAGAGAGACUCCCCUUCUCUACAAAAAAAAAAAAAAAAAAAACUGGGCACGGUGGCUCACAUCUGUAAUCCCAGCACUUUGG